Small nuclear RNA from Oreochromis aureus, 182 nucleotides. Its record names the gene U2. It matches the Rfam family "U2 spliceosomal RNA". Rfam says of the family: U2 is a small nuclear RNA (snRNA) component of the spliceosome (involved in pre-mRNA splicing). Complementary binding between U2 snRNA (in an area lying towards the 5' end but 3' to hairpin I) and the branchpoint sequence (BPS) of the intron results the bulging out of an unpaired adenosine, on the BPS, which initiates a nucleophilic attack at the intronic 5' splice site, thus starting the first of two transesterification reactions that mediate splicing. NCBI's taxonomy places the organism in Eukaryota, Metazoa, Chordata, Actinopteri, Cichliformes, Cichlidae. The record is from Ensembl.
AUCGCCUCGGCCUUUUGGCUAAGAUCAAGUGUAGUAUCUGUUCUUAUCAGUUUAAUAUCUGAUCGCCCCGAUUCGGGGCAACGACAAACGCAUUUUUAGAACAGGGAGCUGAAUAAGGGGCUCGCUCCGUUCGCUCCACGCAUCGACCCGGUAUUGCAGCGCCCGGGAACGGUGCCCCUUUG